CAGCGAGACCCGCUGAGCUCAUGUCUGAGGAGGUGGUGCGACAGACGCGCAGUCAGAAGCGUGCGCUAGAGAAGGACUCUCCCCCUGCGGACAGCAAGCGACUGAAGCGUGAUGAAGAAGACGACCUGAUGAAGGCCUCCGUCAAACUGGAGCUCCAGGCGGGAGACGAGGCCGUGGGCCGUGGGAACACUGCGAUGAGGAGUGCGCGGUCCCCCUCUCCUGAUGAUGUCAUCGUGGUGUCCGACGAGGAUCCCAGUCCGCGGGCCGCUGGGAGCCGCUGCAGAGAACUGGUCCCGGAUCAGCUGAUGAGGAGUUCUGCAGAGGAGCGCGAGUGUGUCAUUAAUCAGCUUAAGGAGGAGCUUCGCUUAGAAGAGGCCAAACUCAUCCUGCUGAAGAAGAUCAGACACAGUCAAACACACACCGACUCCAGCGGACAGAAGGUACACACACACACACACACAC
Rhinichthys klamathensis goyatoka is the source of this 462-nucleotide long non-coding RNA. RefSeq lists it as uncharacterized. The record is from RefSeq and is a predicted model, not a curated record. Lineage: Eukaryota; Metazoa; Chordata; Actinopteri; Cypriniformes; Leuciscidae. The transcript has 4 exons.